This 1444-nucleotide ribosomal RNA is filed under the name Lactiplantibacillus plantarum. RNAcentral's name for it is "bacterial SSU rRNA". It matches the Rfam family "Bacterial small subunit ribosomal RNA". The record is from RNAcentral. Lineage: Bacteria; Bacillati; Bacillota; Bacilli; Lactobacillales; Lactobacillaceae.
UGCAAGUCGAACGAACUCUGGUAUUGAUUGGUGCUUGCAUCAUGAUUUACAUUUGAGUGAGUGGCGAACUGGUGAGUAACACGUGGGAAACCUGCCCAGAAGCGGGGGAUAACACCUGGAAACAGAUGCUAAUACCGCAUAACAACUUGGACCGCAUGGUCCGAGCUUGAAAGAUGGCUUCGGCUAUCACUUUUGGAUGGUCCCGCGGCGUAUUAGCUAGAUGGUGGGGUAACGGCUCACCAUGGCAAUGAUACGUAGCCGACCUGAGAGGGUAAUCGGCCACAUUGGGACUGAGACACGGCCCAAACUCCUACGGGAGGCAGCAGUAGGGAAUCUUCCACAAUGGACGAAAGUCUGAUGGAGCAACGCCGCGUGAGUGAAGAAGGGUUUCGGCUCGUAAAACUCUGUUGUUAAAGAAGAACAUAUCUGAGAGUAACUGUUCAGGUAUUGACGGUAUUUAACCAGAAAGCCACGGCUAACUACGUGCCAGCAGCCGCGGUAAUACGUAGGUGGCAAGCGUUGUCCGGAUUUAUUGGGCGUAAAGCGAGCGCAGGCGGUUUUUUAAGUCUGAUGUGAAAGCCUUCGGCUCAACCGAAGAAGUGCAUCGGAAACUGGGAAACUUGAGUGCAGAAGAGGACAGUGGAACUCCAUGUGUAGCGGUGAAAUGCGUAGAUAUAUGGAAGAACACCAGUGGCGAAGGCGGCUGUCUGGUCUGUAACUGACGCUGAGGCUCGAAAGUAUGGGUAGCAAACAGGAUUAGAUACCCUGGUAGUCCAUACCGUAAACGAUGAAUGCUAAGUGUUGGAGGGUUUCCGCCCUUCAGUGCUGCAGCUAACGCAUUAAGCAUUCCGCCUGGGGAGUACGGCCGCAAGGCUGAAACUCAAAGGAAUUGACGGGGGCCCGCACAAGCGGUGGAGCAUGUGGUUUAAUUCGAAGCUACGCGAAGAACCUUACCAGGUCUUGACAUACUAUGCAAAUCUAAGAGAUUAGACGUUCCCUUCGGGGACAUGGAUACAGGUGGUGCAUGGUUGUCGUCAGCUCGUGUCGUGAGAUGUUGGGUUAAGUCCCGCAACGAGCGCAACCCUUAUUAUCAGUUGCCAGCAUUAAGUUGGGCACUCUGGUGAGACUGCCGGUGACAAACCGGAGGAAGGUGGGGAUGACGUCAAAUCAUCAUGCCCCUUAUGACCUGGGCUACACACGUGCUACAAUGGAUGGUACAACGAGUUGCGAACUCGCGAGAGUAAGCUAAUCUCUUAAAGCCAUUCUCAGUUCGGAUUGUAGGCUGCAACUCGCCUACAUGAAGUCGGAAUCGCUAGUAAUCGCGGAUCAGCAUGCCGCGGUGAAUACGUUCCCGGGCCUUGUACACACCGCCCGUCACACCAUGAGAGUUUGUAACACCCAAAGUCGGUGGGGUAACCUUUUAGGAACCAGCCGCCUAAGGUGG